Molecule: ribosomal RNA, 253 nt
Filed under: uncultured bacterium
Lineage: Bacteria
Description: partial 16S ribosomal RNA
Rfam family: Bacterial small subunit ribosomal RNA
Source: RNAcentral
UACGUAGGGGGCAAGCGUUGUCCGGAUUCAUUGGGCGUAAAGAGCGUGUAGGCGGCCAGGUAGGUCGGUUGUGAAAACUGGAGGCUCAACCUUCAGAGGUCGACCGAAACCAUCUGGCUAGAGUCCGGGAGAGGAGAGUGGAAUUCCUGGUGUAGCGGUGAAAUGCGCAGAUAUCAGGAAGAACACCCGUGGCGAAGGCGGCUCUCUGGGCCUUUCCUGACGCUGAGACGCGAAAGCGUGGGGAGCGAACCGG